UUAAAAACUAUGACGAGGAAAAGUAAAUAUUAGGCUGCUUUAAGAGAGAGAAACUCAUCGGCUGUAAAGUUUCUUAAGCAAGCAAUGUUGAAAACCACCUCUGAGUUGAUUACUGAACUUAAGUAAGUAUUUCCGCUAGCCGGCGUUAAUGGUGUUGAGUGAUAGAAGCGUUUUUAAUUAUGCUUUUGUAAUUUGGGUGGAAUUGGGACAAAAGAUGUCCCUAAAU
This 226-nucleotide non-coding RNA is filed under the name Clostridium estertheticum. RNAcentral describes it as "T-box sequence". It matches the Rfam family "T-box leader". Rfam says of the family: Uncharged tRNA acts as the effector for transcription antitermination of genes in the T-box leader family. T-boxes are found upstream of many aminoacyl-tRNA synthetase genes and some amino acid biosynthetic genes usually in Gram-positive bacteria. The anticodon of a specific tRNA base pairs to a specifier sequence within the T-box motif, and the NCCA acceptor tail of the tRNA base pairs to a conserved bulge in the T-box antiterminator hairpin. Lineage: Bacteria; Bacillati; Bacillota; Clostridia; Eubacteriales; Clostridiaceae. The record is from RNAcentral.